AAAGAAUUUAUUAUACCUGCUGUAUUCGGAUAAUUUGUCACAGAACGGUAUUCGGAAUCCGUACAAAUUCUUACCACACCAUUUGGUUCAAUCUAUAAAGAACGAUGAUGGUUAUAUGUACGUAGUCGUUAUUAAUUUCGUAUUACAUAAUUACGAUGUAAGUUUUCUGCCUCGGCUAAACGCAUGCAUAAAUUUCGUUAAUUUAUCGUGACAAUAUUCUAUCCGUAUACGAUGAAUAUUAAACAUACGAGAACAAGGUAAUUUAACAACAGACUCGUUUUCUCUGGGUCGUGACAUUUAGAAAAAUCCUAAGUCAUCUCUGAGAAAUUAAAGAUAGCACAC
Molecule: unclassified non-coding RNA, 342 nt
Filed under: Bombus terrestris (buff-tailed bumblebee)
Lineage: Eukaryota; Metazoa; Arthropoda; Insecta; Hymenoptera; Apidae
Description: misc RNA ENSBTSG00005024123.1
Source: RNAcentral